CGUAGGGUGCGAGCGUUGUCCGGAAUUAUUGGGCGUAAAGAGCUUGUAGGCGGUUUGUCGCGUCUGCCGUGAAAAUCCGAGGCUCAACCUCGGACUUGCGGUGGGUACGGGCAGACUAGAGUGUGGUAGGGGAGACUGGAAUUCCUGGUGUAGCGGUGAAAUGCGCAGAUAUCAGGAGGAACACCGAUGGCGAAGGCAGGUCUCUGGGCCACUACUGACGCUGAGAAGCGAAAGCGUGGGGGAGCGAACAGGAUU
This 255-nucleotide ribosomal RNA is filed under the name uncultured bacterium. RNAcentral's name for it is "partial 16S ribosomal RNA". It matches the Rfam family "Bacterial small subunit ribosomal RNA", at positions 526 to 779 of the family's 1533-position model. The record is from RNAcentral.